CCAGACUCCUACGGGAGGCAGCAGUGGGGAAUAUUGCACAAUGGGGGGAACCCUGAUGCAGCGACGCCGCGUGGGUGAAGGAGUAUUUCGGUAUGUAAAGCCCUAUCAGCAGGGAAGAACAAUGACGGUACCUGAAGAAGAAGCCCCGGCUAACUACGUGCCAGCAGCCGCGGUAAUACGUAGGGGGCAAGCGUUAUCCGGAUUUACUGGGUGUAAAGGGGGCGCAGACGGCGAUGCAAGCCAGGAGUGAAAGCCCGGGGCCCAACCCCGGGACUGCUCUUGGAACUGCGUGGCUGGAGUGCAGGAGGGGCAGGCGGAAUUCCUGGUGUAGCGGUGAAAUGCGUAGAUAUCAGGAGGAACACCGGUGGCGAAGGCGGCCUGCUGGACUGCAACUGACGUUGAGGCCCGAAAGCGUGGGGAGCAAACAGGAUUAGAUACCCUCGUAAC
Molecule: ribosomal RNA, 447 nt
Filed under: uncultured bacterium
Lineage: Bacteria
Description: bacterial SSU rRNA
Rfam family: Bacterial small subunit ribosomal RNA
Source: RNAcentral